AACGAACGCUGGCGGCGCGCCUAAUACAUGCAAGUCGAACGAGAAGCUGUAGCAAUACAGUUGUACAGUGGCGAACGGGUGAGGAAUACAUGGGUGACCUACCCUCGAGUGGGGAAUAACCAGCCGAAAGGUUGGCUAAUACCGCGUACGCUUCCCAGUCUACGGGUUGGGAAGGAAAGCGAUGCCGUGGGUAUCGCGCUCAAGGUUGGGCUCAUGUCCUAUCAGCUUGNGGUGGGGUAACGGCUCACCAAGGCAACGACGGGUAGCUGGUCUGAGAGGACGAUCAGCCACACUGGCACUGCGACACGGGCCAGACUCCUACGGGAGGCAGCAGUAAGGAAUAUUGCGCAAUGGGCGAAAGCCUGACGCAGCGACGCCGCGUAGGGGGAUGAA
RNAcentral lists this ribosomal RNA (393 nucleotides) under uncultured bacterium. RNAcentral describes it as "bacterial SSU rRNA". It matches the Rfam family "Bacterial small subunit ribosomal RNA", at positions 29 to 412 of the family's 1533-position model. The record is from RNAcentral.